Molecule: ribosomal RNA, 253 nt
Filed under: uncultured bacterium
Lineage: Bacteria
Description: partial 16S ribosomal RNA
Rfam family: Bacterial small subunit ribosomal RNA
Source: RNAcentral
UACGUAGGUGGCAAGCGUUGUCCGGAUUUAUUGGGUUUAAAGGGUGCGUAGGCGGCCCUGUAAGUCAGUGCUGAAAUAUCCCAGCUUAACUGGGAGGGUGGCAUUGAUACUGCGGGGCUAGAGUACAGAUGAGGUAGGCGGAAUUGACGGUGUAGCGGUGAAAUGCUUAGAUAUCGUCAAGAACACCUAUAGCGAAGGCAGCUUACUAGGCUGUAACUGACACUGAGGCACGAAAGUGUGGGGAUCAAACAGG